ACAGGUGGUGCAUGGCUGUCGUCAGCUCGUGCCGUGAGGUGUUGGGUUAAGUCCCGCAACGAGCGCAACCCCCGCCGCGUGUUGCCAGCAUUCAGUUGGGCACUCACGCGGGACUGCCGGCGUCAAGCCGGAGGAAGGCGGGGACGACGUCAAGUCAUCAUGCCCCUCAUGCCCUGGGCCGCACACGUGCUACAAUGGCCGGCACAACGGGUUGCCACCCCGCGAGGGGGAGCGGAUCCCUAAAGCCGGCCCCAGUUCGGAUCGCAGGCUGCAACCCGCCUGCGUGAAGCCGGAGUUGCUAGUAAUCGCGGAUCAGCACGCCGCGGUGAAUACGUUCCCGGGCCUUGUACACACCGCCCGUCACACCACCCGAGUCGUCUGCACCCGAAGCCGCCGGCCGAACCCCUCCGGGGGGCGGAGGCGUCGAAGGUGUGGAGGGUGAGGGGGGUGAAGUCGUAACAAGGUAGCCGUACCGGAAGGUGCGGCUGGAUCACCUCCUUUCUAGGGAGA
Molecule: ribosomal RNA, 510 nt
Filed under: Slackia isoflavoniconvertens
Lineage: Bacteria; Bacillati; Actinomycetota; Coriobacteriia; Eggerthellales; Eggerthellaceae
Description: bacterial SSU rRNA
Rfam family: Bacterial small subunit ribosomal RNA
Source: RNAcentral